UUCGCAAUGCCCGAAAGGGUGACGAAGCGACGCCGCGUGCGGGAGGAAGGCCUUCGGGUUGUAAACCGCUGUCGGGAGUUAAGAAAUGCAAGGAUGUUAAUAGCGUUCUUGCUUGACUAAGGCUCCGGAGGAAGCCACGGCUAACUCUGUGCCAGCAGCCGCGGUAAUACAGAGGCGGCAAGCGUUGUUCGGAAUUAUUGGGCGUAAAGAGCACGUAGGCGGCUGUGUAAGUCGGUUGUGAAAGCCUUCCGCUCAACGGAAGAACGGCAUCCGAUACUGCAUGGCUUGAGUGUGGGAGGGGAGAGUGGAACUUCUGGUGGAGCGGUGAAAUGCGUAGAUAUCAGAAGGAACACCGGCGGCGAAGGCGACUCUCUGGUCCAUAACUGACGCUGAGUGUGCGAAAGCUAGGGGAGCGAACGGGAUUAGAUACCCCGGUAGUCCUGGCCGUAAACGAUGGGCACUAAGUAGAGGGGUUUU
This 477-nucleotide ribosomal RNA is filed under the name uncultured anaerobic ammonium-oxidizing bacterium. RNAcentral's name for it is "bacterial SSU rRNA". It matches the Rfam family "Bacterial small subunit ribosomal RNA", at positions 365 to 832 of the family's 1533-position model. The record is from RNAcentral.